CCUUUGACGUUAGCGGCGGACGGGUGAGUAACACGUGGGUAACCUACCUAUAAGACUGGGAUAACUUCGGGAAACCGGAGCUAAUACCGGAUAAUAUUUCGAACCGCAUGGUUCGAUAGUGAAAGAUGGUUUUGCUAUCACUUAUAGAUGGACCCGCGCCGUAUUAGCUAGUUGGUAAGGUAACGGCUUACAAAGGCGACGAUACGUAGCCGACCUGAGAGGGUGAUCGGCCACACUGGAACUGAGACACGGUCCAGACUCCUACGGGAGGCAGCAGUU
RNAcentral lists this ribosomal RNA (279 nucleotides) under uncultured Staphylococcus sp. RNAcentral's name for it is "partial 16S ribosomal RNA". It matches the Rfam family "Bacterial small subunit ribosomal RNA", at positions 83 to 355 of the family's 1533-position model. Lineage: Bacteria; Bacillati; Bacillota; Bacilli; Caryophanales; Staphylococcaceae. The record is from RNAcentral.